UGAGGAAUAUUGGUCAAUGGGCGAGAGCCUGAACCAGCCAAGUAGCGUGCAGGAUGACGGCCCUAUGGGUUGUAGACUGCUUUUAUAUGGGAAUAAAGUGAGGGACGUGACCCUUAUUGCAUGUACCAUACGAAUAAGGACCGGCUAAUUCCGUGCCAGCAGCCGCGGUAAUACGGAAGGUCCAGGCGUUAUCCGGAUUUAUUGGGUUUAAAGGGAGCGUAGGCCGUUUGGUAAGCGUGUUGUGAAAUGUAGGAGCUCAACUUCUAGAUUGCAGCGCGAACUGUCAGACUUGAGUGCGCACAACGUAGGCGGAAUUCAUGGUGUAGCGGUGAAAUGCUUAGAUAUCAUGAAGAACUCCGAUUGCGAAGGCAGCUUACGGGAGCGCAACUGACGCUGAAGCUCGAAGGUGCGGGUAUCGAACAGG
Molecule: ribosomal RNA, 424 nt
Filed under: Verrucomicrobiota bacterium
Lineage: Bacteria; Pseudomonadati; Verrucomicrobiota
Description: Verrucomicrobia bacterium partial 16S ribosomal RNA
Rfam family: Bacterial small subunit ribosomal RNA
Source: RNAcentral